This 110-nucleotide ribosomal RNA is filed under the name uncultured bacterium. RNAcentral describes it as "partial 16S ribosomal RNA". It matches the Rfam family "Bacterial small subunit ribosomal RNA", at positions 1373 to 1482 of the family's 1533-position model. The record is from RNAcentral.
CCCGGGCCUUGUACACACCGCCCGUCACACCAUGGGAGUUGGUUUUACCCGAAGACGGUGAGCUAACCGCAAGGAGGCAGCCGGCCACGGUAAGGUCAGCGACUGGGGUG